GUAAGUGCGACUGAACCGGGAAGAGCCCAGCGCAUAACCUUGUAGCCCAAAAGGCGCGAGGGGUGUUGCGUUUCAGAGGGUCUAGCACACCGUCCCCGACCAGCCUAAGUCUUACCUGGAAAGGAGCUCUAUGACCAAGGAAGGUGUGAGUCCUGUAUGGCGGUGCCCGUGAGGGAAUCCGUGGGACGGUGGAAAGGACCGCUCUGUAGAGUCGGGUUGCUUAAUACUGCAGCCCAAAGUAGGUGGUAAACUCCAUCUAAGGCUAAAUAUGACCACGAGACCGAUAGCGAACAAGUACCGUGAGGGAAAGUUGAAAAGGACUUUGAA
RNAcentral lists this ribosomal RNA (327 nucleotides) under Trapezionida acantha. RNAcentral's name for it is "eukaryotic LSU rRNA". It matches the Rfam family "Eukaryotic large subunit ribosomal RNA", at positions 83 to 380 of the family's 3401-position model. The record is from RNAcentral. Lineage: Eukaryota; Metazoa; Arthropoda; Malacostraca; Decapoda; Munididae.